CUACGGGACGCACCAGUGAGGAAUAUUGCACAAUGGGGGAAACCCUGAUGCAGCAACGCCGCGUGGAGGAUGACGCAUUUCGGUGUGUAAACUCCUUUUAUGAGUCAAGAAAAUGACGGUAGCUCAUGAAUAAGCACCGGCUAACUCCGUGCCAGCAGCCGCGGUAAUACGGAGGGUGCAAGCGUUACUCGGAAUCACUGGGCGUAAAGGACGCGUAGGCGGGAUUGUAAGUCAGGUGUGAAAUCCUACAGCUUAACUGUAGAACUGCACUUGAAACUACGAGCCUAGAGUAUGGGAGGGGGAGAUGGAAUUAGUGGUGUAGGGGUAAAAUCCGUAGAUAUCACUAGGAAUACCUAAAGCGAAGGCGAUCUCCUGGAACAUUACUGACGCUAAGGCGUGAAAGCGUGGGGAGCAAACAGGAUUAGAUACCCCUGUAGUC
Molecule: ribosomal RNA, 439 nt
Filed under: uncultured bacterium
Lineage: Bacteria
Description: partial 16S ribosomal RNA
Rfam family: Bacterial small subunit ribosomal RNA
Source: RNAcentral